GGGCUCAUGGUCUAGCUGGUUACGCUGCCCGGGGGGGCGCUGCAAAGGACGUCUCCUUGACAUGGAGAAGAUCUCCAGUUCAAAUCUGGAUGGGCCCA
Molecule: transfer RNA, 98 nt
Filed under: Thermoplasmatota archaeon
Lineage: Archaea; Methanobacteriati; Thermoplasmatota
Description: Candidatus Thermoplasmatota archaeon (groundwater metagenome) tRNA-Val
Source: RNAcentral